AUACGGAGGAUCCGAGCGUUAUCCGGAUUUAUUGGGUUUAAAGGGAGCGUAGGCGGAGGAUCAAGUCAGCUGUGAAAUGUAGACGCUCAACGUCUGCACUGCAGUUGAAACUGGUCCCCUUGAGUGCGUAAGGGGCAGGCGGAAUUCGUCGUGUAGCGGUGAAAUGCUUAGAUAUGACGAAGAACUCCGAUCGCGAAGGCGGCUGGCCGGGCCGCAACUGACGCUGAAGCUCGAAGGUGCGGGUAUCGAACAGGAUUAGAUACCCUGGUAGUCCGCACAGUAAACGAUGGAUACUCGCUGUCGGCGAUAUACGGUCGGUGGCCAAGCGAAAGCGUUAAGUAUCCCACCUGGGGAGUACGCCGGCAACGGUGAAACUCAAAGGAAUUGACGGGG
Molecule: ribosomal RNA, 393 nt
Filed under: uncultured bacterium
Lineage: Bacteria
Description: partial 16S ribosomal RNA
Rfam family: Bacterial small subunit ribosomal RNA
Source: RNAcentral